Molecule: ribosomal RNA, 440 nt
Filed under: uncultured bacterium
Lineage: Bacteria
Description: partial 16S ribosomal RNA
Rfam family: Bacterial small subunit ribosomal RNA
Source: RNAcentral
CCUACGGGUGGCAGCAGUAGGGAAUAUUGCGCAAUGGGGGAAACCCUGAAGCAGCAACGCCGCGUGGAGGAUGAAGGUUUUAGGAUUGUAAACUUCUUUUGUGAGAGAAGAUAAUGAUGGUAUCACACGAAUAAGAACCGGCUAACACCGUGCCAGCAGCCGCGGUAAUACGGAGGGUGCAAGCGUUAUUCGGCAUAAUUGGGCGUAAAGAGCGCGGAGGCGGGAGUGUAAGUCAGAUGUGAAAUCCUGUCGCUUAACUACAGGCCUGCAUUUGAAACUAUGUGUCUUGAGUGUGGGAGAGGUAGGUGGAAUUCUUGGUGUAGCGGUGAAAUCCGUAGAUAUAAAGAGGAACACUCAUUGCGAAGGCGAACUGCUGGAACGUUACUGACGCUGAGGCGCGAAAGCGUGGGGAGCAAACAGGAUUAGAUACCCUUGUAGUC